UUGCAGUUAAAAAAAAAAACCUUUCUUCCCUUUUUUUCUCUGUAGGCUUCCUUGGGUCGGCCAUGGAGGCCGCUGUUGCCUCGCCGUGGCCACCGUUCAUCUACGACGGUGACUGCCGCCUCCGGUGGCCUGAGUAAAAGAAUUUGCCAUUUUUAGCCCUCUUUUUUUACCCCAAACUCAUAUCUAACCUAAUAGCUUCUGAAAUAAAUAAAAAAGGAAGAUAACGCGAAGAAAGCCUCGGUCUCACCGCGUUCGUCAAACCCUCGUCAAAACCUUAAUGGGUUUCGAGAUAUUCGGGCAUUGGAGAUAGUUUCCAACAAUGGCAGAAGAUGAAUUGACAAGUGGUGGUGAGCGGUCAACGGUGACGGUGGGAAGUGCACCUUUGCCAUUUUGGUGCAAUGGCAGCAGGGGCAUACCAGACCUUGGGCAGCGAGCACGCUGACGUUGCCAGUAGCAGCGGCACAGGGGGUCUUAAGGUUUUUAGUUUUUUGAAAAAUAAUUUAGGUUGUGGGCUUGGGAUGGUAGUUUGGACCUGGGUUAUUGGAUUUUGUUUAUAUUCGGGCUUAUAAUUUGGGCUGGCAUAUUUAUAAUUGGACUUUUUAUUUAUUUUUGGUUUUAUUUAUUUUUUUCAUUUAGUUUUUGUUUGGGCUCGGGCUAAAUUGGACCUCUAUAUGUAUUUUUUUUAACUUUUUUUGUCAUAAUCAGGAUAUCUACGACUGGUAGUAAUGACUAAUCUUCUCAUCA
Molecule: long non-coding RNA, 744 nt
Organism: Gossypium arboreum
Lineage: Eukaryota; Viridiplantae; Streptophyta; Magnoliopsida; Malvales; Malvaceae
Exons: 2
Source: RefSeq, a predicted model, not a curated record